CGUAUGGCGAUGCGGGAUGACCGAACGCGAUGUUAAAGCGCCAGACUGCCCGCUCAUGAGAACCCAUAAAAGGUGUUGGUUCAUUUAGACAGCAGGACGGUGGCCAUGGAAGUCGGAAACCGCUAAGGAGUGUGUAACAACUCACCUGCCGAAUGAAUUAGCCCUGAAAAUGGAUGGCGCUGAAGCGGGCGGCUUAUACAUCGCCAUCAAGGCAGGGAUGUAGGCCUUGAUGAGUAGGAGGGCGUGGGGCUCGUGGCGAAGGCCCAGGGCGUGAGCCCGGCUGGAACGUGCCCUAGUGCAGAUCUUGGUGAUAGUAGCAAAUAUUCAAAUGAGAACUUUGAAGACUGAAGUGGAGAAAGGUUUUGACGUGAACAGCAUUUGGACGUCAGUGAGCCGCUCCUAAGAGAUAGGGAAACUCCGUUCGGAAGCGCGGCAGUUCGGCGUCCCCGCAAGGGGCGCACCCCGGACCUUGCCCCGACUAUCGAAAGGGAACACGGUUAAUAUUCCGUGGCCGGGAAGUGGAUG
RNAcentral lists this ribosomal RNA (525 nucleotides) under uncultured eukaryote. RNAcentral describes it as "eukaryotic LSU rRNA". It matches the Rfam family "Eukaryotic large subunit ribosomal RNA", at positions 1147 to 1637 of the family's 3401-position model. The record is from RNAcentral.